GCGCCCGUAGCUCAACGGAUAGAGCAUCUGACUACGGAUCAGAAGGUUGGGGGUUCGAGUCCCUCCGGGCGCGCCA
This 76-nucleotide transfer RNA is filed under the name Rugosimonospora africana. RNAcentral describes it as "tRNA-Arg". It matches the Rfam family "tRNA". Rfam says of the family: Transfer RNA (tRNA) molecules are approximately 80 nucleotides in length. Their secondary structure includes four short double-helical elements and three loops (D, anti-codon, and T loops). Lineage: Bacteria; Bacillati; Actinomycetota; Actinomycetes; Micromonosporales; Micromonosporaceae. RNAcentral also lists the same sequence under 4 other names. The record is from RNAcentral.